AGGUGACCACUGAGGCUUCAUCUAAUGUUGCAAGGGCCUUUACAGAAGAGACGACCACUGAAAGUUUCAGAUUCAGGGCUAAGGAAAAGAAAGUAAAAGAAAGCGUAACUUCAUCAACUGACAGCACUUAAUUCUA
This is a non-coding RNA of Spodoptera litura, 136 nucleotides long. Lineage: Eukaryota; Metazoa; Arthropoda; Insecta; Lepidoptera; Noctuidae. The record is from RefSeq and is a predicted model, not a curated record.